RNAcentral lists this ribosomal RNA (384 nucleotides) under uncultured bacterium. RNAcentral's name for it is "bacterial SSU rRNA". It matches the Rfam family "Bacterial small subunit ribosomal RNA", at positions 30 to 416 of the family's 1533-position model. The record is from RNAcentral.
AUUGAACGCUGGCGGCAUGCUUUACACAUGCAAGUCGAACGGUAACAGGUCUUCGGAUGCUGACGAGUGGCGAACGGGUGAGUAAUGCAUCGGAACGUGCCCAGUCGUGGGGGAUAACGCAGCGAAAGCUGUGCUAAUACCGCAUACGAUCUAUGGAUGAAAGCGGGGGAUCGCAAGACCUCGCGCGAUUGGAGCGGCCGAUGUCAGAUUAGCUAGUUGGUGGGGUAAAGGCCCACCAAGGCGACGAUCUGUAGCUGGUCUGAGAGGAUGAUCCGCCACACUGGGACUGAGACACGGCCCAGACUCCUACGGGAGGCAGCAGUGGGGAAUUUUGGACAAUGGGCGAAAGCCUGAUCCAGCCAUGCCGCGUGAGUGAAGAAGGCC